This 3422-nucleotide long non-coding RNA is filed under the name Homo sapiens (human). Its description in RNAcentral is "non-protein coding lnc-IRF6-1:1". The record is from RNAcentral. Lineage: Eukaryota; Metazoa; Chordata; Mammalia; Primates; Hominidae.
GGAGAGCCACGGGCCCGCGCCCGAGACCCGCCCGAAGCGCGCCGAGCUCGUGUGGGGGCCCAAGCCCAAGCUUCCUGGCGCCGGGCGCCCUCCCGUCCGGUACUUGGAGCAAACGGUGUCCAUGAAGGAGGCGAGUGGCAAAUGAUGUGGUCAGGACCAUGGACAGGUCUCCUUGGUUGAAAAGGAUUCCCACCCACUGACUCUCAGAUUUGGUAAUAGUAAGUCUGUUUUGGUUUCGUUUGGUUUUAUUUUGUUUUGUUUUGCCCGAAUCAGCCACAUACUCGUCUCAGAUCUCCGCUGUGGAGAAACAGCUAGUUGGCAAAAAGCAAAAAGGAGAGAGGAAUCCUGAGCACAGCAGUGGUCUCUCUCUCUCUCUCUCUCUCUCUCUCUCACACACACACACACACACACACUCACUUCACCCCUUAGCCUCGCUCUUGAUAAGCCUUGCUGCCACACAGAGCUUGGCUUACCUCUUGGAACUCUGAGUUGGAAUUUGUCUACACAUUGCAAACGCACAUUUGAAGCCACACAAAAGUCAGGGUCAGACGGACGUUUUGACAAAGGACCUGGAAAGCAUGUCACACGCAGGUUUUUAAAAAUUUGUAAACCUGUGACCAUUGUGAACAGUCCCAGGCCAACCCUGAGCACAACAACAAUUGGCCACUUAGUUUUUACUUAAGAUACUUGAACCGCUCAACCAUUUACCCAACUCUCAACUUCAUUUAGUAAUUUGAGAACCUGGACAAUCAACGGCAUAAACAACAUUGAGAAAUAGGGAGUUUAGUGAUUCUCUCUUGUGGAGGAAAUGCUAAUUCCUAGAGCAAAAUAGCUAUAUUAGGGACUGAAACAAAGAAGAAAAUAUUUUACACUUAUGUAAGUAAGGUUGGACUGUAAAUCUAGAGCAGAAACUGUCUUCCAUUGCUUUUAUAUAACCUCUCCCUCAGUCGCAUUUUAUGCUCAAUAGACAUUCAUCCUUUACCAUUUUCUUUAGUUCAGUGAGUAUCUGUGAAGCCGGCACUGUGCUGAAAACUGGCUACAAGCAAGAAUUGUUAUUGAAGGAUCAAAGAAAAUACUGUUUUACUCAGGAAACAUUAAAAUGCCUAUACUUUAGGAAAGCUCCAUGAGAGAGUUUAUGAUGGACAUCUAGAGGAUUCGGGUAAAAUGUUUAAUGACAUUUUCCCCAGGCAGCCUCCCUUAAAACAGUCUUGAACUCCAAGACAUUGAUCUGAACUUGACACCACAGUUGUAAGUUGUGGUUUCUGGCUAGUUCUGAGUAACCCAAUUGUUCAAACUUUUAAAGAAUUUCAUAUUGAAAGCCCGAAAAAUGUAUUCAUCCUUUCCUCACCAAUUACAUAGUUACUAAGUAAAUAACCAGAUUAUGUGAGUUUCCAUAACCUAGAUUAACAUCGCUACUAUUUGUCCAGGAGACUUAUUUGUCCAGGAGACUCAUGUGGAUGAACUGGGGAAGAAGGAAGAUAGUUCCUAGAAGGAGGUUGUUGGACAGAAAGAACUUAACUUAUGCCUAGUGUUCCAUUAUUGGAACGCUAAGCACGCGGGAGUUGUUUACAUCCUGCUGCUCAAGGUCAUCGCCAAGGUCUGAUUGCAAAAAUUCUAAAAAUUGCAACCUCAGGGAUAAAUGAGUUAAGUAGUAACUACAAAGGUACUGUACUGUCUAGACAUCCACCUCUUGUCUACCUUCUAACUCUUUUGCAAGCACUUGCCUUUCAUCGUACUUCCCUGCAGUUCCCUUACAGCAGAGCUAUCCAAAAGAAUUGUCCGCAACUAUUAAAACACUCUGUAUUUGUGCUGUCCAAUACAGUGGCCCGUAGCCACCUGUGACUAUUGAGCACUUUAAACGUAGGGAGUGCAACUGAGGAACUGAAUUUUUAGCUUUAUUUAAUUUUAUUCAGUUUAAAGUUUAAAAAGCCACUUGUGGCUAUUGUCUGCCAUAUCAAACAGCAUAGACUUAGAGCUACAGAAAUGGCAUGGUAGUGUUCAGCCAGGAACUAAGAAAGAAGAUUAUUUAAUGAGCACUUGGUGAGAUAAACUGUAAUGUCUGUAGUGGGAAAAGAAUAGCAGCAAUUUCCCAUGUUUGGCAAUUCUAUCUAAUGACCUGACACUGUUAAGAAAUAUAUCCAUCAUGCUGUGUGGAGGUAGUUAAAGAUGGAGAUGGAAAAAAAUAACCAGAAAUCAGAAUAAUUUUGUUUUCUCUUCCAUUUCCUCCAGCAAAUAUUUUCCUCAAGAGUUGUCAUUUACUCUACUAUAGAUAGCACAGUUAUAACAGGGAAAAACUAACAUGAAAUAUUCUAGAAUUAUUUUUGUUCACUUAGAUCAAAUGGUAGUUUUUUUCCUGCCACCUAAAGCUUUAGAAGUAACACAAGCUCUAGCAAAGAAAAGAAAGAAGUAAGCAAAUAGCACGGACACUAAUUUAUUAUCCUGUGCUUUCCUUCCAUGGUAUCUUCUAAGCGUUUCAUUCAGACAGAAGGGCCAACUACACUUCCUUUUCCUCUGUAACUAUGAUAUUAUUCCUGUAUAAUCUGCUAUAAUUUUCUUAUUGCUCACUGAAGUUAUUGCUAUUGGCUAGCUGCAUAGAGCAGUACACAGAGGUUUUUCAAAAGAAUAAUAACACAGCACGAUACUGGCCUGUCAGCUCGUAGGAGUGAACAGAACUUUUAAACAUAUAGACCAAUUUAACACAAAAUGAUCAACAAGUACAUGCUUAGUAGGAUACAGGCUACUGUAACUAAGUGUUCUUAUUCACAACAAAGAAGUUAUUAUUUUGUUCUAGGUAACAGUACUUGACUAUAUUUAAAACCUUUUUUCACAGCUGAGUGUUCCCAUGAUAAUGACAAGUGACAUUUAUAUAGUGACUUUCACUCAGAGGUCAAAAAGUGUGCCACACACCUUUUACAUGACAUAAAUAUGUCACCCACCAGUAAAUACAGCCACCUAUCAUGUAGAAAGCGGAAGCAACUUUUAGAAGCCCUAAAGAAUAUAUAUAUACAGGAAAGAAAUUGAAUUUUACACCUAGAAUAAAUUGAGUUAGAUGAGAAAAUGGUCUUCUGCUGCAAAAACAUUAUUCAACUCUUCUUGGUUUAUAUAAUUGCAAAUUUGGACAGGGUAAUGAUGUGUGGAAUAGAGGAAGGAGAGUCAAAGCAAAAGAUAAUUUAGGAUAAUCUGGAAAAGAGAUGAUUAGGGCAUCAUUUAGAAAAAGGAGGUAAAAUAAUGGGCUUGAUCAGACCAGAGAGUCUAUGAGGGUCACUAAGAUCUUUUAUUGCUUACACUGUUCAAAUACAAUGCUGUCAAACAUUGUUCUUUGUAUAAAAAUAGGUGCUCAAUAAAUUGUUGUUAAAUGAAUAAAUUAUAACAGGCUUGGUGUCAUGUAUCCUUUAUAAUUGUAGUUCUUAAACUCUGAUGCA